GUGCCAGCAGCCGCGGUAAUACCGGCAGCCCGAGUGAUGGCCGAUCUUAUUGGGCCUAAAGCGUCCGUAGCUGGGUCUGAAAGUCCGUCGGGAAAUCCACCUGCUCAACAGGUGGGCGCCCGGUGGAAACUGUGCAGCUUGGGACCGGAAGGCGCGACGGGUACGUCCGGGGUAGGAGUGAAAUCCCGUAAUCCUGGACGGACCGCCGAUGGCGAAAGCACGUCGCGAGAACGGAUCCGACAGUGAGGGACGAAAGCCAGGGUCUCGAACCGGAUUAGAAACCCCAGUUAGUCC
This 294-nucleotide ribosomal RNA is filed under the name uncultured bacterium. Its description in RNAcentral is "partial 16S ribosomal RNA". It matches the Rfam family "Archaeal small subunit ribosomal RNA", at positions 455 to 747 of the family's 1478-position model. The record is from RNAcentral.